GCGCUCAUCGUCUAGCGGUUAGGACAUCGCCCUUUCACGGCGGCAGCCGGGGUUCGAUUCCCCGUGGGCGUACCA
This 75-nucleotide transfer RNA is filed under the name Neisseriaceae bacterium. RNAcentral's name for it is "tRNA-Glu". It matches the Rfam family "tRNA". From Rfam's summary of the family: Transfer RNA (tRNA) molecules are approximately 80 nucleotides in length. Lineage: Bacteria; Pseudomonadati; Pseudomonadota; Betaproteobacteria; Neisseriales; Neisseriaceae. The record is from RNAcentral.